AUAAUGGGUCAGCGACUUAUAUUCUGUAGCAAGGUUAACCGAAUAGGGGAGCCGAAGGGAAACCGAGUCUUAACUGGGCGUUAAGUUGCAGGGUAUAGACCCGAAACCCGGUGAUCUAGCCAUGGGCAGGUUGAAGGUUGGGUAACACUAACUGGAGGACCGAACCGACUAAUGUUGAAAAAUUAGCGGAUGACUUGUGGCUGGGGGUGAAAGGCCAAUCAAACCGGGAGAUAGCUGGUUCUCCCCGAAAGCUAUUUAGGUAGCGCCUCGUGAAUUCAUCUCCGGGGGUAGAGCACUGUUUCGGCAAGGGGGUCAUCCCGACUUACCAACCCGAUGCAAACUGCGAAUACCGGAGAAUGUUAUCACGGGAGACACACGGCGGGUGCUAACGUCCGUCGUGAAGAGGGAAACAACCCAGACCGCCAGCUAAGGUCCCAAAGUCAUGGUUAAGUGGGAAACGAUGUGGGAAGGCCCAGACAGCCAGGAUGUUGGCUUAGAAGCAGCCAUCAUUUAAAGAAAGCGUAAUAGCUCACUGGUCGAGUCGGCCUGCGCGGAAGAUGUAACGGGGCUAAACCAUGCACCGAAGCUGCGGCAGCGACGCUUAUGCGUUGUUGGGUAGGGGAGCGUUCUGUAAGCCUGUGAAGGUGUACUGUGAGGUAUGCUGGAGGUAUCAGAAGUGCGAAUGCUGACAUAAGUAACGAUAAAGCGGGUGAAAAGCCCGCUCGCCGGAAGACCAAGGGUUCCUGUCCAACGUUAAUCGGGGCAGGGUGAGUCGACCCCUAAGGCGAGGCCGAAAGGCGUAGUCGAUGGGAAACAGGUUAAUAUUCCUGUACUUGGUGUUACUGCGAAGGGGGGACGGAGAAGGCUAUGUUGGCCGGGCGACGGUUGUCCCGGUUUAAGCGUGUAGGCUGGUUUUCCAGGCAAAUCCGGAAAAUCAAGGCUGAGGCGUGAUGACGAGGCACUACGGUGCUGAAGCAACAAAUGCCCUGCUUCCAGGAAAAGCCUCUAAGCAUCAGGUAACAUCAAAUCGUACCCCAAACCGACACAGGUGGUCAGGUAGAGAAUACCAAGGCGCUUGAGAGAACUCGGGUGAAGGAACUAGGCAAAAUGGUGCCGUAACUUCGGGAGAAGGCACGCUGAUAUGUAGGUGAAGUCCCUCGCGGAUGGAGCUGAAAUCAGUCGAAGAUACCAGCUGGCUGCAACUGUUUAUUAAAAACACAGCACUGUGCAAACACGAAAGUGGACGUAUACGGUGUGACGCCUGCCCGGUGCCGGAAGGUUAAUUGAUGGGGUUAGCGCAAGCGAAGCUCUUGAUCGAAGCCCCGGUAAACGGCGGCCGUAACUAUAACGGUCCUAAGGUAGCGAAAUUCCUUGUCGGGUAAGUUCCGACCUGCACGAAUGGCGUAAUGAUGGCCAGGCUGUCUCCACCCGAGACUCAGUGAAAUUGAACUCGCUGUGAAGAUGCAGUGUACCCGCGGCAAGACGGAAAGACCCCGUGAACCUUUACUAUAGCUUGACACUGAACAUUGAGCCUUGAUGUGUAGGAUAGGUGGGAGGCUUUGAAGUGUGGACGCCAGUCUGCAUGGAGCCGACCUUGAAAUACCACCCUUUAAUGUUUGAUGUUCUAACGUUGACCCGUAAUCCGGGUUGCGGACAGUGUCUGGUGGGUAGUUUGACUGGGGCGGUCUCCUCCUAAAGAGUAACGGAGGAGCACGAAGGUUGGCUAAUCCUGGUCGGACAUCAGGAGGUUAGUGCAAUGGCAUAAGCCAGCUUGACUGCGAGCGUGACGGCGCGAGCAGGUGCGAAAGCAGGUCAUAGUGAUCCGGUGGUUCUGAAUGGAAGGGCCAUCGCUCAACGGAUAAAAGGUACUCCGGGGAUAACAGGCUGAUACCGCCCAAGAGUUCAUAUCGACGGCGGUGUUUGGCACCUCGAUGUCGGCUCAUCACAUCCUGGGGCUGAAGUAGGUCCCAAGGGUAUGGCUGUUCGCCAUUUAAAGUGGUACGCGAGCUGGGUUUAGAACGUCGUGAGACAGUUCGGUCCCUAUCUGCCGUGGGCGCUGGAGAACUGAGGGGGGCUGCUCCUAGUACGAGAGGACCGGAGUGGACGCAUCACUGGUGUUCGGGUUGUCAUGCCAAUGGCACUGCCCGGUAGCUAAAUGCGGAAGAGAUAAGUGCUGAAAGCAUCUAAGCACGAAACUUGCCCCGAGAUGAGUUCUCCCUGACUCCUUGAGAGUCCUGAAGGAACGUUGAAGACGACGACGUUGAUAGGCCGGGUGUGUAAGCGCAGCGAUGCGUUGAGCUAACCGGUACUAAUGAACCGUGAGG
RNAcentral lists this ribosomal RNA (2324 nucleotides) under Escherichia coli. Its description in RNAcentral is "partial 23S ribosomal RNA". It matches the Rfam family "Bacterial large subunit ribosomal RNA", at positions 612 to 2915 of the family's 2925-position model. The record is from RNAcentral. Lineage: Bacteria; Pseudomonadati; Pseudomonadota; Gammaproteobacteria; Enterobacterales; Enterobacteriaceae.